ACUCGUCCCGGCGAGUAUAAACAGGGCAUCAAGCCGGGAGCGUCCCGCCGAUCUGGCGGGGGUUGC
This 66-nucleotide ribozyme is filed under the name human gut metagenome. RNAcentral's name for it is "Pistol ribozyme". It matches the Rfam family "Pistol ribozyme". The record is from RNAcentral.